This 475-nucleotide ribosomal RNA is filed under the name uncultured bacterium. RNAcentral describes it as "bacterial SSU rRNA". It matches the Rfam family "Bacterial small subunit ribosomal RNA", at positions 28 to 507 of the family's 1533-position model. The record is from RNAcentral.
GAUGAACGCUGGCGGCGUGCUUAACACAUGGCAAGGUCGAACGGACUUAUUUUAUGAAGCUUGCUUCGCGAGAUAAGUUAGUGGCGGACGGGUGAGUAACGCGUGGGUAACCUGCCGUAUGCUGGGGACAACAGUUGGAAACGACUGCUAAUACCGCAUAAGCGCACAGUACCGCAUGGUAAUGUGUGAAAAACUCCGGUGGCAUACGAUGAACCCGCGUCUGAUUAGCUAGUUGGUGAGGUAACGGCCCACCAAGGCGACGAUCAGUAGCCGGCCUGAGAGGAUGAACGGCCACAUUGGGACUGAGAUACGGCCCAGACUCCUACGGGAGGCAGCAGUGGGGAAUAUUGGGCAAUGGGGGAAACCCUGACCCAGCAACGCCGCGUGAAGGAAGAAGGCCUUCGGGUUGUAAACUUCAGUCAACAGGGAAGAACAAAUGACGGUACCUGUGGAGGAAGCCACGGCUAACUACGUG